AGAUGUAUAAAAAUGCUGGAGUUAAAUUGCAAGGUCUCAGACACUUCUCCUCAACCCUUGCACGUCAGGAGAAAGAAAUAUUUAAACGAGACAAUAAAAUUCAUAUCAAUGCAGGAACUAUUGGAUCUUCUCAGCACGGAAAAACAUCGCUCGUCUCAAUGCUGACAAAAGUAUUGAGUUCUAGUCACGGUGUGCUAGCUCGUGAAGUGUCUGAUAUAGAUAAUAGUGCAGGAGAGCAGAGUACAGGCAGCUCACAGCAUCCAACACAUCUAGAGCUAUGGACGGAUGAGUAUAGAUACAGUUUAACAGAUCUACCUGGCAGAAAUACAUAUUUCAGAAACAUGUUUUCAUAUUUCUCAAUGCUAGAUCUGAAUUUGCUGAUAAUUAACCCAGAGGAGGGAUUACUUCAGGAUGCGUUGGCUAUGUACAGGAUUUCUAAACAUUACAAGAUACACACAGUUCCUAUAAUUUCAGCUAGACCUGAAACUGAAGCAGAAACCAUCGACUUGGUUAGAAUGGAGUUAGAUGAGUCUGGAGUAACUGAACCUUGUCUGGUUGUGGAGAACCCUAUAUCCGGAGCAAAUCCGUCUCAACCCAUCCUGCAGCUUCUCACAGAGAUAGAGAAAACUCUAAUCAGACCUAAGAGAGAAGAAUCUAAACCUCUCUACUUCCCCCUGGAACAAGUAGGAUCUAUACCCAGCAGAGGAACGUUUUGUGCUGGACGUAUUGAAUCUGGAAAAAUAAAGAUUGGGUCUCAGUUGGACGUUUUCUAUCACGGACAGAAGAGCCGGGGUAAUGUUAAAGAUGCGGAAAUAUUCCGUAAAAAAACAGAUUCUCUGUCAGCUGGGGAUAGAGGAGGAGUAUUCAUCAAACUUAAACCUGAUAUAGAUCUAAAGCGUGGAGGUGUACUGUAUGAACCCGGAAGUGAAUUAACUGCAUCAAAUAGUUGGAAAGUUCAAUUGAAAAGUUUACAAGGCUGCGGCAAUAUAAAUACCAAGGGCGAGUAUGUUCUUUUCCAUUCCACAUUCUCUGAUGGGAGAUCAACUCUUGAACCUUGCCAGCUCCAGGAAGAGGAGUUUACUCAAACCAUUCUCUCCGGAUCCGUCCAGUUUCUCGGUAGACCUGGAGAUACGAUCCUGCUCAAGUCCGGACACGGAUAUAUUCUCGGCAAUCUCAUUUAUCCUGCAUAGUUCUUAUGUUAAACGAAGCUUAGUUAUUAUUAUUCAGUAUCCAAUAUCCAUCCUUUACUACCAGUACCCCCCUCCCCCUCCCACCCUGUCUUUAAAGAUUUAUUGUUGCGAGUCAGGGGUCCAUAAAUUCCAUUUCCGAUCCCAAAUGGGAUCGGGAUUGAAAGUACAUUUAGUUUCUGCCCCUAACAUCCAAAUACCAAAUGUCUCCCUACUUUCAUACCUCCGUACAUAAUUAUAUAUUGAUGUCAUUGUGUACAUUGUAAAAAUUCUAAUUUUAAUGAUUUGAUAUUUCAAAAAUAUCUGCAAUUUCAACUCAAUAGCAUGUAUAUUGCAAUAAAAAUUUAUUGAAAUCAAAA
Molecule: unclassified non-coding RNA, 1546 nt
Filed under: Eurytemora carolleeae
Lineage: Eukaryota; Metazoa; Arthropoda; Copepoda; Calanoida; Temoridae
Description: elongation factor Tu
Source: RNAcentral